RNAcentral lists this ribosomal RNA (374 nucleotides) under uncultured bacterium. Its description in RNAcentral is "bacterial SSU rRNA". It matches the Rfam family "Bacterial small subunit ribosomal RNA", at positions 524 to 898 of the family's 1533-position model. The record is from RNAcentral.
UACGUAGGCAGCGAGCGUUGUUCGGAGUUACUGGGCGUAAAGCGUGCGUAGGCGGUGUCUUAAGUUUGUUGUGAAAUCUCCCGGCUUAACCGGGAGGGUGCGGCGAAUACUGAGAUGCUGGAGUGCCGGAGAGGUAAGCGGAAUUCCUGGUGUAGCGGUGAAAUGCGUAGAUAUCAGGAGGAACACCUGCGGUGUAGACGGCUUACUGGACGGUAACUGACGCUGAGGCACGAAAGCGUGGGUAGCAAACAGGAUUAGAUACCCUGGUAGUCCACGCCCUAAACGAUGCAUACUUGGUGUGGGCAGUUCAGUCUGUCCGUGCCGAAGCUAACGCGAUAAGUAUGCCGCCUGGGGAGUACGGUCGCAAGGCUGAA